UACGUAGGGGGCAAGCGUUGUCCGGAAUCAUUGGGCGUAAAGCGCGUGUAGGCGGUUCAGUAAGUCUGCUGUGAAAGUCCAGGGCUCAACCCUGGGAUGCCGGUGGAUACUGCUGGGCUAGAGUACGGAAGAGGCGAGUGGAAUUCCCGGUGUAGCGGUGAAAUGCGCAGAUAUCAGGAGGAACACCGAUGGCGAAGGCAGCUCGCUGGGACGGUACUGACGCUGAGGCGCGAAAGCGUGGGGAGCAAACAGG
Molecule: ribosomal RNA, 253 nt
Filed under: uncultured bacterium
Lineage: Bacteria
Description: partial 16S ribosomal RNA
Rfam family: Bacterial small subunit ribosomal RNA
Source: RNAcentral